RNAcentral lists this ribosomal RNA (493 nucleotides) under uncultured bacterium. RNAcentral describes it as "partial 16S ribosomal RNA". It matches the Rfam family "Bacterial small subunit ribosomal RNA", at positions 29 to 507 of the family's 1533-position model. The record is from RNAcentral.
AGUGAACGCUGGCGGUAGGCCUAACACAUGCAAGUCGAACGGCAGCACAGUAAGAGCUUGCUCUUACGGGUGGCGAGUGGCGGACGGGUGAGGAAUACAUCGGAAUCUACUUUUUCGUGGGGGAUAACGUAGGGAAACUUACGCUAAUACCGCAUACGACCUACGGGUGAAAGCAGGGGAUCUUCGGACCUUGCGCGAUUGAAUGAGCCGAUGUCGGAUUAGCUAGUUGGCGGGGUAAAGGCCCACCAAGGCGACGAUCCGUAGCUGGUCUGAGAGGAUGAUCAGCCACACUGGAACUGAGACACGGUCCAGACUCCUACGGGAGGCAGCAGUGGGGAAUAUUGGACAAUGGGCGCAAGCCUGAUCCAGCCAUACCGCGUGGGUGAAGAAGGCCUUCGGGUUGUAAAGCCCUUUUGUUGGGAAAGAAAAGCGGCAGGUUAAUACCCCGCUGUUCUGACGGUACCCAAAGAAUUAAGCACCGGCUAACUUCGUG